GUAGGGUGCAAGCGUUAAUCGGAAUUACUGGGCGUAAAGCGUGCGCAGGCGGUUUUGGUAAGUCUGUCGUGAAAGCCCCGGGGCUUAACCUGGGGAAUUGCGAUGGAGACUGCAAGGCUUGAAUCUGGCAGAGGGGGUAGAAUUCCACGUGUAGCAGUGAAAUGCGUAGAGAUGUGGAGGAACACCGAUGGCGAAGGCAGCCCCCUGGGUCAAGAUUGACGCUCAUGCACGAAAGCGUGGGGAGCAAACAGGAUUAGAUACCCUGGUAGUCCACGCCCUAAACGAUGUCUACUAGUUGUCGGGUCUUAAUUGACUUGGUAACGCAGCUAACGCGUGAAGUAGACCGCCUGGGGAGUACGGUCGCAAGAUUA
This 371-nucleotide ribosomal RNA is filed under the name uncultured organism. Its description in RNAcentral is "partial 16S ribosomal RNA". It matches the Rfam family "Bacterial small subunit ribosomal RNA", at positions 527 to 896 of the family's 1533-position model. The record is from RNAcentral.